AUGAUUGAUGAUGGAGACUCUACUCCCUCUCCCUCCAGGCUCCACCACACCACACCACAGCAGGCGAGAGAGAGAGAGAGUAUUAUUAUUAAGGCCAUAGGUAGUAGCAGGAACAGAGAUCAUCAAUCACAACGGAGCCGCCACCACCACCACCGCAGCCUCCACUCUCCACCGCAUCCGGCAGCGGCGCGCGGCGGAGAAGCCGGUCCGGGGAAGCAGGCGAGCGACAGGAAGCAGCAGCACCGGCAGCAAGAAGAAGAAGGAGAAGAAGAAUCGGACGCCAUAAUGCAGCAGCAUCAAGGGGUUCCUAAAUUUGGGAACUGGGAGGACGAGGGCCAAGGCUACACGCAGUACUUCGAAAACGCCCGCAAAUCUCCAGGAAGGCCCGUCAACCAGAACGAUCGCAACCAAGGCGCUGCACAGGCACCCCCGAACGACCCGCCGUCGGUCAAGGCCUCCCCCUUGAGGCCGGGGUCCGAGCCGGGGCUGCGCAAGAACAGGGACGAAAGGCGUGCCACCCGAGAAGACGACCUCCGUCGGCACGAGCCCGCUGCCCGGAAAACACAUGCCGAGUCGCCCAACCAUAGAUAUGGUGACCAGAGCAACUACGAAGGCGCUGCGAGGAAAGCGAGCAAUGAGAGGUCACCCAUCCAUCCUCGGCAGCAGGCAAGGCUUGCAAACAAAGGUGGGGUUUCAUCUCCUGUUGCGGAUCGCAGGGGUUCUGCUCCCACCACGCCUGGAAGGUCCAAGAUGAGGCCAACCGGCCGCGGCGAUGAAACGCCCGAGAGAGGAUCAGCUGUGCCGAAGUUUGGAGACUGGGAUGAGAAAGACCCUUCGACUGGUGAAGGUUUCACUGACAUAUUUGAGAAGGUGAGGGAGGAGAAGCAGUCCGGCGCGGAUACUGUCGGCACCAGCCAUGCAUAUAAGGACCGCUACAACCAAGGGGACAGAUAUGAAUCUUCGGGCUGCUCAUGCUUCAGCUGGUUCAAGAAGUGA
This 996-nucleotide ribosomal RNA is filed under the name Triticum aestivum (bread wheat). RNAcentral describes it as "partial small subunit ribosomal RNA". Lineage: Eukaryota; Viridiplantae; Streptophyta; Magnoliopsida; Poales; Poaceae. The record is from RNAcentral.